UGGUAAUGUAUUAUAGUAAUAUCAGCUAUUAAUUUUCAAUUUUAUAAAAUCGCAUUUCUGAGAUCCAUUCACAUUGGAACGUCGUAGCUAUAGAUUUAAAUAUAGAUGACAUAGUAUUUAAUAUUUUGUGCUUUUGCUUUACACUGCACUUUCAUUUCCCAUUUUCCACGUCAAGCUAAAAUAGCAUUUUACUCUUAUUCUUUUCUAUUAAAGUCUUCUUUGCACAUAUAUACUUGUGAAUAUGUUCCAGAAUUUUCUAGAAUAUAAAAGGAGAAACAAAACUACUAGGCUUUAAAGAAUUUUUUUUAAAUUUUCUAUUUAUUUACUUUUUUGAGGUAGAGUUUCACUCUUGUCUCCCAGGCUGGAGUGUGGUGGUGCAAUCACAGCUCAGGACAAUCUCCGCCUCUGGGUUCAGAUAUGCCUCUGGGGACCCAAAUCUUGGGAUACAGCUGAGUGAAAAGCCGUUUGGAGUUUAUACCUACCUAUGUUCUGAUGGUAUGGAAUUAUUUCAAAACCCAAUGAGGAGGUAUGCAUAUGGUAGGUCUUGA
Molecule: long non-coding RNA, 548 nt
Filed under: Callithrix jacchus (white-tufted-ear marmoset)
Lineage: Eukaryota; Metazoa; Chordata; Mammalia; Primates; Cebidae
Description: lncRNA (ENSCJAG00000077254.1)
Source: RNAcentral